This 127-nucleotide ribosomal RNA is filed under the name uncultured eukaryote. RNAcentral's name for it is "partial 18S ribosomal RNA". It matches the Rfam family "Eukaryotic small subunit ribosomal RNA", at positions 1679 to 1801 of the family's 1831-position model. The record is from RNAcentral.
CUCCUACCGAUUGAAUGGUCCGGUGAAGUGUUCGGAUCGCGGCGACGUGGGCGGUUCGCCGCUGGCGACGUCGCGAGAAAUCCACUGAACCUUAUCAUUUAGAGGAAGGAAAAGUCGUAACAAGGUU